This 520-nucleotide ribosomal RNA is filed under the name uncultured Glomus. Its description in RNAcentral is "SSU rRNA". It matches the Rfam family "Eukaryotic small subunit ribosomal RNA", at positions 569 to 1091 of the family's 1831-position model. Lineage: Eukaryota; Fungi; Glomeromycota; Glomeromycetes; Glomerales; Glomeraceae. The record is from RNAcentral.
AGCAGCCGCGGUAAUUCCAGCUCCAAUAGCGUAUAUUAAAGUUGUUGCAGUUAAAAAGCUCGUAGUUGAAUUUCGAGACCGGCUUACUGGUCGUGCUAUUGUACGUACUGGUAUAAUCGGUUUCUCCUUUCUGACGAACUAUAAUGCCAUUAAUUUGGUGUUUUAGGGAAUCAGGACUGUUACUUUGAAAAAAUUAGAGUGUUUAAAGCAGGCUCACGCUUGAAUACAUUAGCAUGGAAUAACGGAAUAGGACGUUUGAUUCUAUUUUGUUGGUUUCUAGGAUCGACGUAAUGAUUAAUAGGGAUAGUUGGGGGCAUUAGUAUUCAAUUGUCAGAGGUGAAAUUCUUGGAUUUAUUGAAGACUAACUACUGCGAAAGCAUUUGCCAAGGANGUUUUCAUUAAUCAAGAACGAAAGUUAGGGGAUCGAAGACGAUCAGAUACCGUCGUAGUCUUAACCAUAAACUAUGCCGACUAGGGAUCGGAUGAUGUUAAUUUUUUAAUGACUCAUUCGGCGCCUUAC